Long non-coding RNA from Tympanuchus pallidicinctus (lesser prairie-chicken), 2338 nucleotides. RefSeq lists it as uncharacterized. The record is from RefSeq and is a predicted model, not a curated record. The transcript is spliced from 4 exons. NCBI's taxonomy places the organism in Eukaryota, Metazoa, Chordata, Aves, Galliformes, Phasianidae.
CAAUCUGGGGAAGGGAAGGCUGAGAGUGGACCCUAUUACUCUCUUCAAAUACCUGAAAGGUUUCAGAAUUAUAACUAUGUUGCUAUUCAACCACUGCUGAGAGAAUACUCAUUAAAAGUGAAAAGCGGGCCAAGAACUUCGAUGAACUCUUUCUAUUGUUUUAGUAGAACAGUAAAAGACUAAAGAAACAUCUUUAUGAAACUAAGAAAACAGCAUUCUUCAAGAAUGUAGAAUACUGAUGGGGAUAAAGGAGACUUUUUUUCUAUAUUGGCAAUCAUUCUCUUUUCUGAGAGACUCAUCGGUGGAAGAAAUAGUUCCAUAAAUUCUGAGGCGUUUGGACUGCUAUUUAAAAAGUACAAGGGAAUCAUCUUACCUAAGAACAACAGAGAAUUUUAUCAUGCAUACCUAUUACGAAGACAAGGGAAGUACAACUUAAUACUGAAGAGAGAAAGACCUUCUCAUUCCACAAAACAGAUUUUGGAUGAGAGUGAAGUCUCUCCCACAGUUCAGGUUUAAUCUCCAUGUAAUCCCAGUAAGCCUAAUGACUAAAUAAUGUGUUAUCCUUUUUGUUCUCACACCAGUGAAAUCAGACUCUGUAUUUUGCUGAUGUUUUUUCUACAAUCACCCCUAGAUCCUUCCAGAAUACUGACUGUGUGUGUGUCUGUGGAGGAAAUGCUUCUGAUAAUGGCUUUGUCAGGUUGUACACAGGAUGGAAUCCGGAUGCACUAUUCUGGACAUCAUGCUGUACUCUGGUAUUUUACUUAACAGUGUUUUGUUAAAAGAGAACCAAUGUAUAUUUGGUAUUCCUAAACAGAACAAAAGCCUUAACCCCUUCUUCAUUCUUCAUUUUAUGCUUUUUCCAUGCUAUUGUAAUUUGUUUUUUCAUUUACAGUCUAGGAGUCUAAUGUAUCUCAUUCCAUUGCUUUGACUAUUGCAAUAUCUCACCAGUGCACCUCUACUGUCUGUGGUGUUUAUAACUAGUCCAAGUACUACCUUUCUAGACUCCUCUUCCAUCUGUUCAUGCUCAGAUUCAAAUGUUCAGUUCUUUUUAUUUAGCCAUGUUAUGACUGUACAAAUCAGAAGGUUAAAUAAGAAAGAUCCUUAAACUGUUUGGAUUUCUGUGCCCAACAGUGUAGAUGGGUUAUACAAGUCACACUUCAGAACAUGUGAUUUUUGCACUUCUGAAGUUGUGAUUUGAAUUGCCCCAAAUGUCAGAUUGCAUGUCAUUCAUCCUACUGGUCUCAGCAUGAAAUUGAUAUUUGUGGAAUGGAUCAAAAGAACAAGUGUUUGUUGUGACCUCUUUCAAGUUUCCUAUGUAAUAAUAAUAGUAAAGGGUGAUUCUUGGAGAAUACUUUUGUUUUCUUGUUGGGUAGUUGGAAUUUUGUGUGAUUUCAUAUAUUUUUCUCAUUAAAAUCUAUAAUAUUUAGUCUUUCUGUGAUUGCAUUCAACAUAAAAUCCACAUGUUCACAGGAAUGAGAAUGUAUAAGUUUGUUAUCUGUAAGUUCUGCCUUGAUUCCUCUUCUUUACUGUGAUUUUUGUUGGUUUGGGUAUUCUCAAAUUCUUGUUUUUCAUUUACACAGAAAAAUAAUUCUUUGACUGCUGAUUUUAAUCAAUGUAAUCAAUUCAAGAUAUAUUACUUUACCCAGUGCUCAUUGCACCAUGCAGUUGCAGCCUUAAUAAAGCAUUAGUGCUGCUGUUUUUCUCAUUACAUUUUCCUAAAGGCAUUUUUGAACCCAUGUAUUUUCUUCACCACUGUUGAAGCUUCAUUACAAUAAAAAAGAGCCUCAUUCUUCUGUAGCUGUAGUUUUUGUAGCACGCUCUUAUGUUCUUGAUGACUUGUUUCUCUUUCCAAAUAGCUUCAAAUACUUUUCAGUCUUAUUAAGUUUAAUUCUGAGAAAUUUGUGCAUUACAUUAUCUGUAGCAAUCAAAUUCUUCAUACCAGGGACUGAAAAAGUCAUAUUAAGGUCAAAUACGUUUAGCUGUAUGUUGUCUCAUUAGCAAAUUACUUCAGAGGAUAAGAUAUUUUGAAGAAAUACAAUAGUAAGUAGGUAUUAGAAGUUCGUGAGCAGAGAGGACACAUAGUGUUUCAAAACUCUCAAUCAUGUAUAGAAUAUCUAACUAUCUCAGACUAUGUAACAAAACCACGUUGGUUCCAAAUUACUUUUGGUUACAUUGAAACCUUAUCUGAUUUAACAAAAUGUGUACAACAAACAACUCCCACACUGAGAUUGACUGGAGAAGUCUCACUUUGGCACAAAAUGACUUCUGUCUUUAUCUUUUUUGAUAUUACUGUGGUCUGUAGGUGAAUCCAAGAAUAUUCAUCAUAAUGAGAAUUUGU